CAGUAGCCGCGGGAAUACGUAGGGUGCAAGCGUUAAUCGGAAUUACUGGGCGUAAAGCGUGCGCAGGCGGUUAUAUAAGACAGAUGUGAAAUCCCCGGGCUCAACCUGGGAACUGCAUUUGUGACUGUAUAGCUAGAGUACGGCAGAGGGGGAUGGAAUUCCGCGUGUAGCAGUGAAAUGCGUAGAUAUGCGGAGGAACACCGAUGGCGAAGGCAAUCCCCUGGGCCUGUACUGACGCUCAUGCACGAAAGCGUGGGGAGCAAACAGGAUCAGAUACCCCUGUAGUCCCUGUCUCUUAUAC
RNAcentral lists this ribosomal RNA (301 nucleotides) under uncultured bacterium. RNAcentral's name for it is "partial 16S ribosomal RNA". It matches the Rfam family "Bacterial small subunit ribosomal RNA", at positions 509 to 807 of the family's 1533-position model. The record is from RNAcentral.